AUGGACCGUGAAUCCUGUACAAGUCGCAUCAACGUCCUGGAGAGGCUUCUACUUGAUGAAAGUGCAGAACCCACAAACCUGCCGUUGUCCCUUCUACAAGACAUCACAAACCAUUUCUCUCUUGAUCACCAAAUUGGCAGUGGCGGGUUUGCGAUGGUUUAUAAGGGAGCAGUCGGGAAAGGUAUGGUCGCUGUGAAGAAGCUGUCAAACACGUUUGCUAUUCAAGAGAAUAAAUUCCAUGAAGAGGUUAAGUGCCUGAUAAAGGCCAAGCACAAGAAUAUUGUACGGUUUCUGGGGUAUUGCUCUGAAACAAAAGGUAAGAUGGAAGAGUACGAGGGGAAUCUUGUCAUGGCAGAUCAGCGGAACUGUCUGCUCUGUUUUGAGUACUUAUGCAAUGGGAGUCUUGAUAAGCACAUUACUGAUUCAACUUGUGGACUUACUUGGACGGAGCGGUAUCAAAUAAUCAGGGGGAUAUCUGACGGUCUACUUUUUCUCCACAAGAAGAGAAUUCUUCACUUGGACCUGAAGCCUGCUAAUAUAUUACUAGAUGCUUACAUGGUACCCAAAAUUGCCGAUUUCGGCCUGUCAAGAUGCCUUGGUGAAGAACAAACCCGUUCUAUUACUCAAAACCUACAGGGGACACUGGGAUACAUGGAUCCGGAGUACCUCAGAUCAAGACAUAUCACAUUCUUGUCAGACAUAUACAGUCUUGGUGUUAUAAUAAUGGAGAUACUGAAAGGAGUGAGGCAGUAUCUUGAAGAUGAAUAUGUAGUUGAAAAUUGGAUGAUUCGGUUGGAGGCAUCAGAGGGGGACAUGCAGUUGGAACAAGUAAGAGUAUGCUAUAAGAUAGCGAUAGAGUGCAUGGACUUGGACCCAAAGAAGAGGCCAACUGCACGGCAUAUAGUCAAUAUGCUUGAUAAAACGGCAAGUGCUAGCUAUUCAGACGGAACUAGCAUUGGCAGUUCAUUAUUUGAGCUGCAUGUACCAAGAGAACAAUCUGGAGAAAAAAUUGAAAAACCCUCAGCCGAGAGCCUCCAGGAGGAACACUCUGAAAUAUUGGAAGAUGUCACAGAAAGUAUUGACCUUCAUUUUCAGGAAGGCCAACGGAAAGUAGACGAAUUACCGUUUUGUGGAGUGCAAGAGAUGAAGCAAAAGGUUUACUGUCAUGGCAGGGCCAUUUCUAGCUCUAUCUCUAAUGUGUUCUACAACUUGGAAAAUUUGGACAUCUUCAACAGAAAAGCAAACAGGGACCAUCCUCGCCCAUUAGAAAUAUCACAUACUGUAAAGGUUUUCAGAAAUGAGGAGCUCAAGCCAAUAAUAAGGGGUAUCAAUUUUAUUGGAAGAGGUGGCUUUGCUGAAGUUUACAAGGGCGUCACAUUGACAAUGCAUUGGUUGCGGUAA
This 1401-nucleotide ribosomal RNA is filed under the name Triticum aestivum (bread wheat). RNAcentral describes it as "partial small subunit ribosomal RNA". The record is from RNAcentral. Lineage: Eukaryota; Viridiplantae; Streptophyta; Magnoliopsida; Poales; Poaceae.